UACGUAGGGGGCAAGCGUUAUCCGGAUUUACUGGGUGUAAAGGGAGCGUAGACGGCUAAGCAAGUCUGAAGUGAAAUCCCGGGGCUCAACCCCGGAACUGCUUUGGAAACUGUCUGGCUGGAGUGCAGGAGAGGUAAGUGGAAUUCCUAGUGUAGCGGUGAAAUGCGUAGAUAUUAGGAGGAACACCAGCGGCGAAGGCGGCUUACUGGACUGUAACUGACGUUGAGGCUCGAAGGCGUGGGGAG
This 245-nucleotide ribosomal RNA is filed under the name uncultured Lachnospiraceae bacterium. RNAcentral describes it as "partial 16S ribosomal RNA". It matches the Rfam family "Bacterial small subunit ribosomal RNA", at positions 524 to 768 of the family's 1533-position model. The record is from RNAcentral. Lineage: Bacteria; Bacillati; Bacillota; Clostridia; Lachnospirales; Lachnospiraceae.